RNAcentral lists this ribosomal RNA (490 nucleotides) under uncultured bacterium. RNAcentral describes it as "partial 16S ribosomal RNA". It matches the Rfam family "Bacterial small subunit ribosomal RNA", at positions 30 to 507 of the family's 1533-position model. The record is from RNAcentral.
AUUGAACGCUGGCGGCAGGCUUAACACAUGCAAGUCGAGCGGUAGCACAGGGGAGCUUGCUCCCUGGGUGACGAGCGGCGGACGGGUGAGUAAUGUCUGGGAAACUGCCUGAUGGAGGGGGAUAACUACUGGAAACGGUAGCUAAUACCGCAUAACGUCGCAAGACCAAAGAGGGGGACCUUCGUGCCUCUUGCCAUCAGAUGUGCCCAGAUGGGAUUAGCUAGUAGGUGGGGUAAUGGCUCACCUAGGCGACGAUCCCUAGCUGGUCUGAGAGGAUGACCAGCCACACUGGAACUGAGACACGGUCCAGACUCCUACGGGAGGCAGCAGUGGGGAAUAUUGCACAAUGGGCGCAAGCCUGAUGCAGCCAUGCCGCGUGUGUGAAGAAGGCCUUCGGGUUGUAAAGCACUUUCAGCGAGGAGGAAGGUGGUGAGCUUAAUACGUUCAUCAAUUGACGUUACUCGCAGAAGAAGCACCGGCUAACUCCGUG